Molecule: unclassified non-coding RNA, 401 nt
Filed under: Lysiloma auritum
Lineage: Eukaryota; Viridiplantae; Streptophyta; Magnoliopsida; Fabales; Fabaceae
Description: partial contains external transcribed spacer and small subunit ribosomal RNA
Source: RNAcentral
AUGGCUCCGUGCUCGUCUACCAAAUGGUCCACAGGCAAUCCGCGUCACAUGAUGUGGAGUGGGAAGGUGCCCAAGAGGCUGGUUCUUGUGCUACCUACCUUUCUAAGGGAAGCAAGCUACUUGACGGUUAGCCUUUAUCUAGCGCCUUGUGAAGGGCACAGAAGGACAGCGAAGCACCCCCCAUGUUCUACCGAGCCUUCAUCAGUCGCAUGGCUCGUACGGACAUGCAAUUCUCUUGGACCCAGUGCACACCACGGACAAGGACUUGGUCCAAAUCCUACGAGAAAACUUCAAUAUAAUGUAUGACAGUUGCUCUCGCCCCAUGACUGCCUUGGUGGUGUAAGGGCGACGAGCGGAGGAUUGCUACCUGGUGAUCUGCCCAGUAGUCAUAUGCUUGUCUC